Molecule: transfer RNA, 77 nt
Filed under: Nematostella vectensis (starlet sea anemone)
Lineage: Eukaryota; Metazoa; Cnidaria; Anthozoa; Actiniaria; Edwardsiidae
Rfam family: tRNA
About the family: Transfer RNA (tRNA) molecules are approximately 80 nucleotides in length. Their secondary structure includes four short double-helical elements and three loops (D, anti-codon, and T loops).
Source: Rfam by way of RNAcentral
GUUGCGGUGGCCGAGUGGUUAAGGCGUUGGACUUGAAAUCCAAUGGGAUCUUCCCGCGCAGGUUCGAACCCAGAACA